This is a long non-coding RNA of Dreissena polymorpha, 3320 nucleotides long. RefSeq lists it as uncharacterized. NCBI's taxonomy places the organism in Eukaryota, Metazoa, Mollusca, Bivalvia, Myida, Dreissenidae. The transcript has 2 exons. The record is from RefSeq and is a predicted model, not a curated record.
CAUUUCCUAGCAAUGAUUAAUAAUUAUAUCAUGUUGAAAUCAUUUAUAGACCAAAUAUUACUGAAACUGCAAAAAAGUAUAAGAUGGAUAGAUAUAAUGUAUCAUUCUAUCUAGUACAAUGAACAAAUGUUCUUCCGAUGCCAUUUUCACUAAGGUAUUGGUAUUGAAUCCUGAUGUACUACUAAAAAUGUAUGUCGGUUAGCAAUAAUAAUUCAACAAAUCCUCAUAUUCAAGCUGGGUCAUCACUAAGUGGAAUUAUUUGUGGACAUAUAACAGAAAAAUGCAUUUCAUGCCUCUAUAUUGCUUUAACAGGAAUCCCAGCUUUUUGUAUGAACAAAAUUCCCUGAUUUUUCCCUGAUGGAAAAUAAAACUUCCAGGAUCAUGAUUUUGACCUAUUUCUUGUUUUAGACACCCUGAAUAAAUAGCAGUUGCAGACAUAACUAAGCUACACGUAUACUACAAAGUCACGAUAGAUAUGCAGAGGAAAUGAUUUGCUGUUUAAAUUGUAUGGACUUCUCGACACAAGUCGGGAAAGUCUGACCAAACAAAAUUCCCUGAUUUUUCCCUGAUUUCACAAACUUUCCAAAUUCCCUGACUGGAAAAAAAGAGUCUUUUUCCAGUUUUCCCUGAUUUCCAGGUUGGCUGGGAACCAUGUUUAACUUUGAUAAAAUGUUCUUUAGAUGCCAUGUGUAUUAAUUUAUAUGUCUUUUUUUCUGAGAUAUUAAUGAAAAUGCCUGUGGGUAUGUGGCGAAUACUAGUAUUAAAAAAAUCUGCAACUUGAUAUAUGGUGUUAACACGGUAAAAUUGUAUGAGCCCAAAUUAUAAUAGAUGAAUGCGUAUUAUGCUUCUAUGCUUAUACUAUGAGGACAUGUUCAUACAAUGCCAUUUUUAUUAAUAUAGAUGCCAAAUUUAAUGAAACAGACUUGAAAAUGUGUGUUGCCAGAUACCAAGUAAGAAAAAAAAUCAGCAUUUUUAUGUAGGGCUUUCACACAGUAAAAUUGUUUGUGCCCAAAUAAUCAUAGAUGAAUGCAUAUUAGGCUUCAAUGUUGCUUAUACUUUGACUACUGGUUCAUACGAUGCCAUUUUUAUAAAUAUCUAUGCCAAAUUUAAUGAAAUAGACUUGAAAAUGUGUGUCGCCAGGUACCAAGUAAGAACAAAAUCAGCAUUUUUAUGUAGGGUCUUCAUACGGUAAAAUUAUUUGUGCCCAAAUAAUAAUAGAUGAAUGUAUAUUAGGCUUCAAUGUUGCUUAUAUACUAUGACGACAUGUUCAUACGAUGCCAUUUUUGUUAAUAUAUAUGCCAAAUGUAAUGAAAUAGACUUGAAAAUGUGUGUCGCAAGAUACCACGUAAGAAAAAAAUCCGCAUUUUUAUGUAGGGUCUUCACACUGUAAAACAGUUUUAUACGUGGACAUAGCAUUUUCAUGGAGCCCGUAAAGAAAGGGAGUUAAUUGUGUAAUUUGUGCUGAUCAGAAACUUAUAACAGUCGUCUCCCUUGAAAUAUUUGCACUUUAUGAGACACCACAAACCAUGGCGUCUCAUCAGGAUCCAAACUGUAUUCUAAAUCGUCACACUAAGCCCUCAUAAGUUAUUCAUUGUAUAUGCACUAUAUAAAACAACCAUAUAAUAUAUCUAAUAUAUCCAGACACACGUAUUAUACCCAAAUAUUAGAAAUACACAAUUUUAUAACAGUAAAAAACAAUGGUAUUUCACAAACAAUUGCAGUCGUUAAUAAAUGCAGAAAAGCAUCAUCUACACGUUUCAUACGGUAUUCAGUUUAUAUGCAAACGCAUUUAAAUAUAUUUACCUCGAUACUCGACCAAGCUGUUGAAAAAUUAUAUUAAUUAGAACGAGAACAAGUAAGAUUAAUGUGUUGUUUUCACAUUUCUUUAAAUGGCUGCCAAUACCGCAUGUAAUAAAACAAUCGAAGCGCAUGCGCAUAAUAUAUGUUACACUCCACUAAACUAGUUGCAGCAAAGACAUUCACAGGCGUUCAUGUCACUUAUAUUCAUGAUAUUUCCAUAUGCGAGUGUGAUUGUAAACACAAGUUUCUGAAAACAGUGCGAAAAGGGGCAUUACGCAAAGCCAAUAAAUCUGCGCAGAUUUUUGUCAAUAUUGACAAUAAACUGCAUGUUUUCUUACCGUUAGUAAUCCGACAGUCCGUUGGUCACAUUGUGCAUUAGUCCGUUUAAGUUAUUAUUGCCUUACACUUUUCAAUAUAAAUUUAUGAACUUUAAACAAAAUAAGUAACUAACUAAGUAACUAUUUAACUGACUAACACGCGCGUUUUUUUCCCAAUAUCCGAGACAUUUUACUUUCGCACCUUGCCCUCAAUGUCUGGCUUUUAAAGUUUACCGCCUUUUUGCGAAUACAAUGACGUUUACAUAUGAAUUGCCCAAUGAAAAUUUCGGCGGGAUGACGUCAGGCGCCAAAACUGGCGCGUGGUUUUUCCCGGUAUAGACCCAGUGUGUCAACGCUGUAAAUGCAUUGUGGGAAACGGACUAUUUCCAGCAUGGCGCCCGUAAAGAUUAUGAACACGGAAGUAAAAAUAGUAAUAAAUUAUUAUCAAAAACAGGCCUCAUCAAACCGGGUCAGCCAUGAUAUAUUCUUGGAUGCAGUUUGUGCUUCAAAAGGAGCUACUUUUCAUGCCAGCCUAUCGAUACUAUGUGGGAACUGGGAUUCGGGAUGCUCUCCCACUGGUAUCAUAUGCAGAUCAGUGGUCACAAGAACGUACACAACAUCAUUAAUGUCAGCAAUAUAUAUCUCCAACUUCAAACACACAGCUUGCAAAAUCGCUGAGUAUUGCACAAAAGCAGCUUCGUUACAAACUUCCAGCAACUCGAAAUCCACAAGCAGUCUCGUUCCCCACCCACUUUGACUUCGUAGCGAAGGCAUGUUUUUUUUGGGAAACCGUUAACAUCUCACAACUAAACGUAUACUACGGAGAUUGACAAGUUGAAAAAUAAAUUACUGUAAUCACUUCCAAUUUGCGCACUAAGUUAAACUCCAGUUCCAGUUUGUCUUUAUUGUUGAAAUGUUACUCUACACAUUCGCUUUGAAAAUAGAGGUUGGCGUGUUGUUGGAAGUACAUGUACAUGUCGAAUGUGUUAUUGUAAAAACUAUUGGUAUUGUGUUUUUAGUGCAGACAUUGUAUUUAAGUUUCGAUUUCUAGCAUAAAUUUAUAUAUUUUGUUAAAUAAUUUGCGUUUGAAUGUGAUUGUUUGUUGCUUACUUGCGAACUAUUUUUUAUGUGUAAAUAUGCAUAGACGCUAGUGGAUAUGUAAUCAGGUUACCAUAUUUACAACAAUAAAAUUUAACGGCUGUU